CAACUGCUCCAUUAGUCUACGGCCUGUAUGCAGACGAUCUGUGAUGCUGAAUGCCAUACUCUUGAAUCAACGUGUCCACCUCGCCCUUGAAAUGCACCCCUCUGUCUGAGAUCAGCUCAUGAGGGACCCCGUAUCGGCAGAUAAUAUGCGAUCUGAUGAACUUGGCCACUCUAGCCGCUGUCAACCUAGCAUAAGAAGCA
This 200-nucleotide long non-coding RNA is filed under the name Vitis vinifera (wine grape). RNAcentral's name for it is "long non-coding RNA (VVIN_LNC004642)". The record is from RNAcentral. Lineage: Eukaryota; Viridiplantae; Streptophyta; Magnoliopsida; Vitales; Vitaceae.